This 507-nucleotide ribosomal RNA is filed under the name uncultured bacterium. RNAcentral's name for it is "bacterial SSU rRNA". It matches the Rfam family "Bacterial small subunit ribosomal RNA", at positions 8 to 518 of the family's 1533-position model. The record is from RNAcentral.
AGGGUUCGAUUCUGGCUCAGGAUGAACGCUGGCGGCGUGCUUAACACAUGCAAGUCGAACGGAGUUUUUAACCGAAGUUUCGGAUGGAAGUUAGAACUUAGUGGCGGACGGGUGAGUAACGCGUGGGUAACCUGCCUCAUACAGGGGGAUAACAGUUAGAAAUGACUGCUAACACCGCAUAAUAUAGCGAAACCGCAUGAUUUUGCUAUCAAAUAUUUAUAGGUAUGAGAUGGGCCCGCGUCUGAUUAGCUAGUUGGUGGGGUAAAAGCCUACCAAGGCGACGAUCAGUAGCCGGCUUGAGAGAGUGACCGGCCACAUUGGGACUGAGACACGGCCCAAACUCCUACGGGAGGCAGCAGUGGGGAAUAUUGGACAAUGGGGGAAACCCUGAUCCAGCGAACCGCCGCGUGAGUGAAGAAGUAUUUCGGUAUGUAAAGCUCUAUCAGCAGGGAAGAUAAUGACAGUACCUGACUAAGAAGCCCCGGCUAACUACGUGCCAGCAGCGGC